RNAcentral lists this ribosomal RNA (776 nucleotides) under Salmonella enterica subsp. enterica serovar Mikawasima. RNAcentral's name for it is "partial 23S ribosomal RNA". It matches the Rfam family "Bacterial large subunit ribosomal RNA", at positions 2164 to 2925 of the family's 2925-position model. The record is from RNAcentral. Lineage: Bacteria; Pseudomonadati; Pseudomonadota; Gammaproteobacteria; Enterobacterales; Enterobacteriaceae.
GUGGACGCCAGUCUGCAUGGAGCCGACCUUGAAAUACCACCCUUUAAUGUUUGAUGUUCUAACGUGGACCCGUAAUCCGGGUUGCGGACAGUGUCUGGUGGGUAGUUUGACUGGGGCGGUCUCCUCCUAAAGAGUAACGGAGGAGCACGAAGGUUGGCUAAUCCUGGUCGGACAUCAGGAGGUUAGUGCAAUGGCAUAAGCCAGCUUGACUGCGAGCGUGACGGCGCGAGCAGGUGCGAAAGCAGGUCAUAGUGAUCCGGUGGUUCUGAAUGGAAGGGCCAUCGCUCAACGGAUAAAAGGUACUCCGGGGAUAACAGGCUGAUACCGCCCAAGAGUUCAUAUCGACGGCGGUGUUUGGCACCUCGAUGUCGGCUCAUCACAUCCUGGGGCUGAAGUAGGUCCCAAGGGUAUGGCUGUUCGCCAUUUAAAGUGGUACGCGAGCUGGGUUUAGAACGUCGUGAGACAGUUCGGUCCCUAUCUGCCGUGGGCGCUGGAGAACUGAGGGGGGCUGCUCCUAGUACGAGAGGACCGGAGUGGACGCAUCACUGGUGUUCGGGUUGUCAUGCCAAUGGCACUGCCCGGUAGCUAAAUGCGGAAGAGAUAAGUGCUGAAAGCAUCUAAGCACGAAACUUGCCCCGAGAUGAGUUCUCCCUGAGACUUUAGGUCUCCUGAAGGAACGUUGAAGACGACGACGUUGAUAGGCCGGGUGUGUAAGCGCAGCGAUGCGUUGAGCUAACCGGUACUAAUGAACCGUGAGGCUUAACCUUACAACGCCG